Lagenorhynchus albirostris (white-beaked dolphin) is the source of this 676-nucleotide long non-coding RNA. RefSeq lists it as uncharacterized. The transcript is spliced from 3 exons. Lineage: Eukaryota; Metazoa; Chordata; Mammalia; Artiodactyla; Delphinidae. The record is from RefSeq and is a predicted model, not a curated record.
UUGGCAUUAGUGGGUACCAUGCCUGCUGGAGCUCUGAAGUCUGCCACUGUUCACGCUGUCACACGACUGGCUGCUCCCGUCCAGAGGAGCGCUGACGUUUUCGUCCUGGACCAAGUCUUUGGUCUCUUGCUUUUCACCUGAUGCUUCCUAGGACUUCAUGCCUUGACUUGUAACAUGGCUUAAUGGCUGGAUAGCUCCAUUUCUGUGGCAUCACAGGACUUUGGGGUCAGAGAAAUGAAGAAAAAGGAAUGAUAAAAAUAUAAAGGUGCCAUUGAAAAGGGCUUUUGUUGCAUGAAACUGACUCUUUGAGAUUAAUCCAUGGCUUCAGAUUGGACCAAAACGAUAUUGAAUAUAUCGAUAGUUCCCUAGUGUGUAUAGCUUUAUAGCACUGGCCACUACUUUGAAGUUUCCCAAGAAUUUCAGCUGUGAGGAGUGGAAAAGGAUGUGAUAAGAAAAGAUGUUGGAUACAAAGUCUGACUCCAUGAAGACACUUUCUUAGUGUCUUGGAACCUGGUUUUACAACAAGGCCACGGGCCCGAAUGAUUUCCACCUCCAGCUGUCCCUUUUUGUCCAUCAUGCCUACCUGAAUGUCACCUAAUGGCGUGUGAGGAAGAAACAAACAGUGAGAGAAAUGUUUGUGCCAAAGACCUUGGUUUAACAUUGUUUCAUCAUUUCC